RNAcentral lists this non-coding RNA (30 nucleotides) under Rattus norvegicus (Norway rat). The record is from RNAcentral. Lineage: Eukaryota; Metazoa; Chordata; Mammalia; Rodentia; Muridae.
UAGGAUGUUUUGACAUUUCCUGAGGCAUGA